This 492-nucleotide ribosomal RNA is filed under the name uncultured bacterium. RNAcentral describes it as "partial 16S ribosomal RNA". It matches the Rfam family "Bacterial small subunit ribosomal RNA", at positions 29 to 507 of the family's 1533-position model. The record is from RNAcentral.
AGUGAACGCUGGCGGUAGGCCUAACACAUGCAAGUCGAACGGCAGCACAGUAAGAGCUUGCUCUUACAGGAGGCGAGUGGCGGACGGGUGAGGAAGACAUCGGAAGCAACUGUUUCGUGGGGGGUAAAGUAGGGAAAAUGACGCUAAUACCGCAUAGGACCUACGGGUGAAAGCAGGGGAACUUCGGACCAUGCGCGAAUGAAGGAGCCGAUGUCGGAUUAGCAAGUUGGCGGGGUAAAGGCCCACCAAGGCGACGAUCCGUAGCUGGUCUGAGAGGAUGAUCAGCCACACUGGAACUGAGACACGGCCCAGACUCCCACGGGAGGCAGCCGUGGGGAAUCUUGGACAAUGGGCGCAAGCCUGAUCCAGCCAUACCGCGUGGGUGAAGAAGGCCUUCGGGUUGUAGAGCCCUUUUGUUGGGAAAGAAAAGCCGCAGGUUAAUACCCCGCUGUUCUGACGGUACCCAAAGAAUAAGCACCGGCUAACUUCGUG